CUGUGACAUUAUUAAAAAAAAAAACGUCAAAAAUUUUCAUCGAAAAAACGUGUUUUUUUAUCUAAUUAAAAUCAAUAAUUUCUCAAUCAAUAUUAAUAAGAACUACAUGUGCAUGGAUUGCCAGUUGGAUUGAUGUUUGUUUUAAGAAGAAAUUUCUCUCAACUAAGAUAUCCACUCGAGAAAGGUUAUUGCAAUUUGCAGCUUGCAGCAACAUCAUGUUUUAUCAAGUAUUGAACCACACAAAGGAUUAAAUCUUCAUUACAAUAUCAUUCAUAACUCCAUUUAAAUCAAUGGAAACUAAAUAUGGAUCGUUUCAUGGAGUAACAACAUACUUUGUAGUUUGGACCCAAAAUACAAUACACGUUAAUAUCGAACUUAUAAGGUGUUAAGCUGCAAUUACAAUAAAAGUGCUUGCUAUGGAAUCACCGGUGCUGAUCAUUGUUGUCAACUGUUACUUAAAAUCCAGAUGAACCAACCUUUACUUCCUAUUCAAAUAAGUUUAGAAGAAACCUAUAUAAGCAAUAAAACCAGACCAAGAAUGCUUGAUUACAAACAAUGAACUCAUUUCAUUUGCAAGUUAUGCCAUGACAUAAAUGCAUUAAAUUAGGAAGAUUUGUAUUAAUACUUCUGUUGAUAAGAACAUUUGGUGGUGAGAAACGUGUAGAUCUGGCCUGCUUACAGUGGCAAUUGGAUUGGACAGAACCAAAGUGAGAGUGAACGUGUGAAUUUAUGGAGAACAUUAAAAACUAUUUUACUAUAAGUCAUAACGCAACUUAUUUUGUAUGAGUUACAUACAAAUGUCAAGCCGUGAGUACAUUAUGUAAAAACUAAAACAAUGUUCCUACUGUAAUCACAACAGUAACUGUAAUCUUUUAAAAUCCAAUAGUUUUAAUGCUUAUUGAUUUUCGUAAACAAAAUAUUUCAUGUUAUAUUUCAUCAAUAAAGUUUCAUUUGAUACUUCAAUAGUUUUAUUUUUAACCGCAAUACAUGAAAAGGAACGGAUCAUAAAAAAGUAUGACAGGUAUAUUUAAUCUGUGGGCGGCAGACGCCAUAUUGUAUUCAGCGCCACCUACUGGACAAUCUAGCUCGGUACCAGUUUGUUUAUCGUUUAACCAAUACUAGGGCCGUUUCCUAUCUGUCUU
Molecule: long non-coding RNA, 1142 nt
Organism: Ostrinia nubilalis (European corn borer)
Lineage: Eukaryota; Metazoa; Arthropoda; Insecta; Lepidoptera; Crambidae
Exons: 3
Source: RefSeq, a predicted model, not a curated record